This is a long non-coding RNA of Magnolia sinica, 476 nucleotides long. RefSeq lists it as uncharacterized. NCBI's taxonomy places the organism in Eukaryota, Viridiplantae, Streptophyta, Magnoliopsida, Magnoliales, Magnoliaceae. The transcript has 3 exons. The record is from RefSeq and is a predicted model, not a curated record.
GGUGUUGGCCGCACUGCCCAAGCAAAGAACCACCAUUCAAAUGGACAGGGCCACUGGCCAGCGAAAUCUGCAAACCUCAUUCUGGACUUGCUCAAGAAUGCUGAGAGCAACUCCGAUGUGAAAGGUUUGGAUGUGGACAAACUGUUUGUUUCUCACAUCCAGGUGAAUCAAGCCUAGAAGCAGAGGCGCUGAAUGUACCAUGCUCAUGAAAGGAUUACCCCCUGAUACUCAGUUGGCUCCAAGGAAACCCAAGAAAGCUCAAGCGCUUCGCAGUGGUGCUUUGUCUUAAGUGGGGGCCAUAGGUAGAAGGCAGCCCUGAAAUGUUUGAAAAUUUUGGCUUCAUUUUAUGUUUUUCCUCAUUUCCGUAGUCAUGCAAUUGAGAACUUGGUGGUGUUUUGCUUGCCAGAAGUUUUGAUAUUUUAACUCUUGAGGUUUUUUUUUUUGAAUAACAAGAAAAAAAAAACAAAAAAUUCUAA